UACGAAGGGGGCUAGCGUUGCUCGGAUUUACUGGGCGUAAAGGGCGCGUAGGCGGACAGUUUAGUCAGAGGUGAAAGCCCGGGGCUCAACCUCGGAAUUGCCUUUGAUACUGGCUGUCUUGAGUAUGGAAGAGGUAUGUGGAACUCCGAGUGUAGAGGUGAAAUUCGUAGAUAUUCGGAAGAACACCAGUGGCGAAGGCGACAUACUGGUCCAUUACUGACGCUGAGGCGCGAAAGCGUGGGGAGCAAACAGUAUUAGAUACCCUGGUAGUCCACGCCGUAAACGAUGAGUGCUAGUUGUCGGCAUGCAUGCAUGUCGGUGACGCAGCUAACGCAUUAAGCACUCCGCCUGGGGAGUACGGUCGCAAGAUUAAA
This 374-nucleotide ribosomal RNA is filed under the name uncultured bacterium. Its description in RNAcentral is "bacterial SSU rRNA". It matches the Rfam family "Bacterial small subunit ribosomal RNA", at positions 524 to 898 of the family's 1533-position model. The record is from RNAcentral.